UGUUGUUGGUGUUGUUGAUAAUGAUGAUAAGGAUGGUGAUGCAGGAGAAACAUGCUCACCACCAUCAUCAUUAUCAUCACUUCAUCAUCAUCAUCA
This 96-nucleotide microRNA precursor is filed under the name Bigelowiella natans CCMP2755. RNAcentral's name for it is "miRNA EPrBNAG00000013505". Lineage: Eukaryota; Cercozoa; Chlorarachniophyceae. The record is from RNAcentral.